AGGGCACCACCAGGAGUGGAGCCUGCGGCUUAAUUUGACUCAACACGGGAAAUCUCACCAGGCCCGGACACUGGAAGGAUUGACAGAUUGAGAGCUCUUUCUCGAUUCGGUGGGUGGUGGUGCAUGGCCGUUCUUAGUUGGUGGAGUGAUUUGUCUGGUUAAUUCCGAUAACGAACGAGACUCUGUCCUGCUAAAUAGUUCCAGCGUCCUUAGUGCGCUGGAAAUUCUUCUUAGAGGGACUGGCGGCGUCUAGCCGCACGAGAUUGAGCAAUAACAGGUCUGUGAUGCCCUUAGAUGUCCUGGGCCGCACGCGCGCUACACUGAAGGGAUCAGCGUGUCUUCCCUCUCCGAGAGGAGCGGGUAACCCGCUGAACCCCCUUCGUGGUAGGGAUUGGGGCUUGCAAUUAUUCCCCAUGAACCAGGAAUUCCCAGUAAGCGCAAGUCAUAAGCUUGCGUUGAUUACGUCCCUGCCCUUUGUACACACCGCCCGUCGCUACUACCGAUUGAACGUUUUAGUGA
This 519-nucleotide ribosomal RNA is filed under the name uncultured eukaryote. RNAcentral describes it as "SSU rRNA". It matches the Rfam family "Eukaryotic small subunit ribosomal RNA", at positions 1161 to 1704 of the family's 1831-position model. The record is from RNAcentral.